This is a non-coding RNA of Triticum urartu, 659 nucleotides long. Lineage: Eukaryota; Viridiplantae; Streptophyta; Magnoliopsida; Poales; Poaceae. The record is from RefSeq and is a predicted model, not a curated record.
CUCUCUCUCUCUCUGAUGUCAACCUCGGUUGCCUUUUAUUUUCAAAUCUGCAAUGGCCUGAAGAAUGAGGCAAUCCUUGGAAGCAGCACGUACAUGUGAUCCCCCCUCUCACUCUGAUUCCAAGGUUAUGUUGCUGAUGGUAGGUGUCACUCUGGAUUGCAGAAAACAUGAUAAGAGCAUGGAGAUGGAUUGCUGCAUAUAUAUGCUUCCCACACUACCAUUUUCUUGAUCAUGUGUGUAGAGUUGAACUACUCAUUUCAUAUAUCCUUAAUUCUUUUUCCUUUUAAUCUCCAUAUGACAUAGAAGGUUCUGGUUGCUCUAUUAACAUGAUCGGAUUUUUGUGUGUGUUUUGCAGAAAACAUGAUAAGAGCAUGGAUGGAUUGCUGCAAAUUCAUGUUGUUGUUGCGGGAUCAUGCCGGCCCUCCCUUGUGCUAGCCAGCCAUCAGGAGCGACUGCGUUUGGUUCGUGCGGACGCGGCUGUGGCUCGCUGUGGUGCUCCUCUCAUGUCGCCUCUUCUUCCUCGCGGGCUUCUUUGGCUCCCUCCUCUUCACCCAGGAUACGCAGGGGGAGGAGGACAUGGAGCGGCCACUGCCAAGGGAACGGCUGCUCUAUUUACCCUUAUUGUCGGUUUCACUUGCCUAGCCUAGGUAUGUUGAGAU